UUAGCCCUAAACACAAAUAAUUAUAAAAACAAAAUUAUUCGCCAGAGUACUACCGGCAACAGCCUAAAACUCAAAGGACUUGGCGGUGCUUUAUACCCUUCUAGAGGAGCCUGUUCUAUAAUCGAUAAACCCCGAUAGACCUCACCAAUUCUUGCUAAUACAGUCUAUAUACCGCCAUCUUCAGCAAACCCUAAAAAGGAAUAAAAGUAAGCAUAAUCACAACACAUAAAAACGUUAGGUCAAGGUGUAACCUAUGAAAUGGGAAGAAAUGGGCUACAUUUUCUACCACAAGAAAAUCACACGAAAGUUAUUAUGAAACUAAUAACCAAAGGAGG
Molecule: ribosomal RNA, 335 nt
Filed under: Cephalophus dorsalis (bay duiker)
Lineage: Eukaryota; Metazoa; Chordata; Mammalia; Artiodactyla; Bovidae
Description: partial 12S small subunit ribosomal RNA
Source: RNAcentral